UACGGAGGGUGCAAGCGUUAAUCGGAAUUACUGGGCGUAAAGCGCACGCAGGCGGUUUGUUAAGUCAGAUGUGAAAUCCCCGGGCUCAACCUGGGAACUGCAUUUGAAACUGGUUGGCUUGAGUCUUGUUGAGGGGGGUAGAAUUCCAUGUGUAGCGGUGAAAUGCUUAGAGAUGUGGAGGAAUACCGGUGGCGAAGGCGGCCCCCUGGACUAAGACUGACGCUCAGGUGCGAAAGCGUGGGGAGCAAACAGG
RNAcentral lists this ribosomal RNA (253 nucleotides) under uncultured bacterium. Its description in RNAcentral is "partial 16S ribosomal RNA". It matches the Rfam family "Bacterial small subunit ribosomal RNA", at positions 524 to 776 of the family's 1533-position model. The record is from RNAcentral.